Molecule: ribosomal RNA, 446 nt
Filed under: uncultured bacterium
Lineage: Bacteria
Description: partial 16S ribosomal RNA
Rfam family: Bacterial small subunit ribosomal RNA
Source: RNAcentral
CCUACGGGAGGCGGCAGUCGAGAAUCAUUCACAAUGGGGGAAACCCUGAUGGUGCGACGCCGCGUGGGGGAAUGAAGGUCUUCGGAUUGUAAACCCCUGUCAUGUGGGAGCAAAUUAAAAAGAUAGUACCACAAGAGGAAGAGACGGCUAACUCUGUGCCAGCAGCCGCGGUAAUACAGAGGUCUCAAGCGGUGUUCGGAAUCACUGGGCGUAAAGGGUGCGUAGGCUGUUUCGUAAGUCGUGUGUGAAAGGCGCGGGCUCAACCCGCGGACGGCACAUGAUACUGCGAGACUAGAGUAAUGGAGGGGGAACCGGAAUGCUCGGUGUAGCAGUGAAAUGCGUAGAUAUCGAGAGGAACACUCGUGGCGAAGGCGGGUUCCUGGACAUUAACUGACGCUGAGGCACGAAGGCCAGGGGAGCGAAAGGGAUUAGAUACCCGGGUAGUC